ACGGGUGAGUAAUGCUUAGGAAUCUGCCUAUUAGUGGGGGACAACAUUUCGAAAGGAAUGCUAAUACCGCAUACGUCCUACGGGAGAAAGCAGGGGAUCUUCGGACCUUGCGCUAAUAGAUGAGCCUAAGUCGGAUUAGCUAGUUGGUGGGGUAAAGGCCUACCAAGGCGACGAUCUGUAGCGGGUCUGAGAGGAUGAUCCGCCACACUGGGACUGAGACACGGCCCAGACUCCUACGGGAGGCAGCAGUGGGGAAUAUUGGACAAUGGGCGCAAGCCUGAUCCAGCCAUGCCGCGUGUGUGAAGAAGGCCUUAUGGUUGUAAAGCACUUUAAGCGAGGAGGAGGCUACUUUAGAUAAUACCUAGAGAUAGUGGACGUUACUCGCAGAAUAAGCACCGGCUAACUCUGUGCCAGCAGCCGCGGUAAUACAGAGGGUGCAAGCGUUAAUCGGAUUUACUGGGCGUAAAGCGCGCGUAGGCGGCUAAUUAAGUCAAAUGUGAAAUCCCCGAGCUUAACUUGGGAAUUGCAUUCGAUACUGGUUAGCUAGAGUGUGGGAGAGGAUGGUAGAAUUCCAGGUGUAGCGGUGAAAUGCGUAGAGAUCUGGAGGAAUACCGAUGGCGAAGGCAGCCAUCUGGCCUAACACUGACGCUGAGGUGCGAAAGCAUGGGGAGCAACAGGAUUAGAUACCCCUGGUAGUCCAUGCCGUAAACGAUGUCUACUAGCCGUUGGGGCCUUUGAGGCUUU
Molecule: ribosomal RNA, 744 nt
Filed under: Acinetobacter calcoaceticus
Lineage: Bacteria; Pseudomonadati; Pseudomonadota; Gammaproteobacteria; Moraxellales; Moraxellaceae
Description: bacterial SSU rRNA
Rfam family: Bacterial small subunit ribosomal RNA
Source: RNAcentral